GUGGGGAAUCUUGCGCAAUGGGCGAAAGCCUGACGCAGCCAUGCCGCGUGAAUGAUGAAGGUCUUAGGAUUGUAAAAUUCUUUCACCGGGGACGAUAAUGACGGUACCCGGAGAAGAAGCUCCGGCUAACUUCGUGCCAGCAGCCGCGGUAAUACGAAGGGGGCUAGCGUUGUCCGGAUUUAUUGGGUUUAAAGGGUGCGUAGGCUGGAAGGUCAGUCAGCGGUGAAAAGCUAUCGCUUAACGAUAGUCUUGCCGCAGAUACUUCCUUUCUUGGAUGAGGAGGAGGCCACUGGAACGGAUGGUGUAGCGGUGAAAUGCAUAGAUAUCAUCCAGAACACCGAUUGCGAAGGCAGGUGGCUGUACCUUAAUCGACGCUGAUGCACGAAAGCAUGGGGAGCAAACAGGAUUAGAAACCCUGGUAGUCC
This 425-nucleotide ribosomal RNA is filed under the name uncultured bacterium. RNAcentral describes it as "partial 16S ribosomal RNA". It matches the Rfam family "Bacterial small subunit ribosomal RNA", at positions 354 to 796 of the family's 1533-position model. The record is from RNAcentral.